UUUUGGACAAUGGGCGCAAGCCUGAUCCAGCCAUUCCGCGUGAGUGAAGAAGGCCUUCGGGUUGUAAAGCUCUUUCGCAAGGGAAGAAAACUUACUUUCUAAUAAAGAGUGAGGUUGACGGUACCUUGAUAAGAAGCACCGGCUAACUACGUGCCAGCAGCCGCGGUAAUACGUAGGGUGCGAGCGUUAAUCGGAAUUACUGGGCGUAAAGCGUGCGCAGGCGGCUUUGUAAGUCAGAUGUGAAAUCCCCGAGCUCAACUUGGGAACUGCGUUUGAAACUACAAGGCUAGAAUAUGUCAGAGGGGGGUAGAAUUCCACGUGUAGCAGUGAAAUGCGUAGAGAUGUGGAGGAAUACCAAUGGCGAAGGCAGCCCCCUGGGAUAAUAUUGACGCUCAUGGCGAAG
This 403-nucleotide ribosomal RNA is filed under the name uncultured bacterium. Its description in RNAcentral is "bacterial SSU rRNA". It matches the Rfam family "Bacterial small subunit ribosomal RNA", at positions 362 to 758 of the family's 1533-position model. The record is from RNAcentral.